RNAcentral lists this unclassified non-coding RNA (1710 nucleotides) under Hevea brasiliensis (rubber tree). The record is from RNAcentral. Lineage: Eukaryota; Viridiplantae; Streptophyta; Magnoliopsida; Malpighiales; Euphorbiaceae.
CAUCUGCAGUUUUUACAUGGCUCAUAUUACAAAACUAAAAGUUGAAGGUUCAACAAAAUCUUAAGCUUGUUACAAUUUGGUUCAUCUCUUAGGAUGUAAUGGGAGAUGGACUCCUUGAUUGCACCCAAGUUACUAAAUCCUCACGUGUUGCUACAAAACAACCAGCUCUUUCUUCACUCUGCCGAAAUGGUGCAGAAAGUUUUUCAACAUGGGAAGCAAAUGCAUUGGCUAGUCCUCGAGAGAAUUUGUGAGUUCCCGUACCAGUGUGAGCUGAAAAAAUUUCUGGCAAUUCCUUUUUGCGAUGAACAAAUUUGGAUAAAGUUCCCAUCCAUUCUUCAAGUGCAGUAUGGGCUGCACCAACAGACAGUGAGCGAACAUCCAAACUCCACUCAUCUACAGUUUUGUUGUGUAAAUCUGGAUAUAAACCAUAAAGAGUUCCCAGAUAUAGCAGCUCAUGUGCUCUGCCAUGAAGAUUUCUAUUACGACAUACAUCAAUCAAGCAGUUACAAAAGGGUCUUCGUGCUUCUACUGCAGUGUCACUGACAAUAGCCCUAAACUCCUCCUUAACAGUCUCAUAGCUAGUUUUUUCAUCUUCAAUCAACCUCACAAGUGCAACCAACCUUGGAUUAGCUUGCUGCAAACAAGUCAGUACCCUGUUGGCAUCCUCACUCUCCUCACAAAGUGACACAACAGAGAGCAAGCAACCACAAAGUCUAUCAUCUGGUUUAACCCCUCCCUCAAUUGAAACAUUGAAAACCCUAACCAGAUCAUCAAUUCUCCUAGCUUUUCCUAAGCACUGAAUCAAACAAGUGCAUCCCAUCACAUUUAUAUCAACGCCCAACUCAGACAUCUCUUCAAACAGCUCCAUUGCCUUACUGGCAUUCCCUCCGCUACCAUAUAUGUUUAGCAUCGCUGUGAAGCUCCAACUAUCUGGCCUACAGUGCUCUGAUCUCUUCAUAUCCUCAAAUAAUCUCUCAGCCUCCUCCUCCAUACCAAGAUCUGCACACAUGCUCAGCAAUGUAUUAUACAAAAUGAAAUCCAUUGGCCAAUCAUUUGAUCUCAUUCGUUCCCAUAGUUCCAUUGCAUCCUUAGCCCACCUAGCCUUCCCAUAAAUCUUGGCCAGUGCAGUUAAUGAUUUCUCAUUUGGGGUUAGCCCUGAUUCCACCAUUUCCUCGAACAAACUCCUAGCCAGACCAGGUUUCCCAGCUCUGCCCAUUGCCUCUAGCAAUGUAUUGUACACAACCAAAUUAGGCUGUACACCUACAGAUUUCAUUUCUUGCAAUACGAACCUAAUUCCAUCAUAGUCCCCUGCUUCACCAAACAUCUUUGCCAAAACAGAGAAUGUAAUGGGAUCAGGUUUCCACCCACUAGCUACCCCUCUCUCAUACAAACUUAACACCUCCUCAACCUUCCCCAAUUUAGCAUAAACAUCUAAAACAGCAGAAUACGUAACCUCAUCAGGCAUUAAACCAGUUUUAUACAUUCUCUCAAACCACUCCAAUGCCUUAUCAAACAUCUUGCACCUCUUAGCACAAGUUAUAAUAGUUGAAUAUGUAAUGUUGUCAAGUUCAAUUUCAUUGCUUACCAUCUCAUUUGCGAGGUUGUCAAUGAGCUCAAACUGCCGUCCAAACCGCAAAGACUUCAUCGUGACAUUGUAGAAUAUAGUCUCCAUAGGAAACAAAUUCUGGGUCUUGAGCCAAUUGAAAAAAA